UAGGGAAUAUUGCAAAAUGGGCGAAAGCCCGAUGCAGCAACGCCGCGUGGGCGAUGAAGGCCUUCGGGUCGUAAAGCCCUUUUUGAGGGGAUGAGGAAGGACAGUACCCUCAGAAUAAGCCUCGGCUAACUACGUGCCAGCAGCCGCGGUAAAACGUAGGAGGCGAGCGUUAACCGGAUUUACUGGGCGUAAAGCGCGUGCAGGCGGAUUGGAGAGUUGGAUGUGAAAGCUCCCGGCUUAACUGGGAGAGGUCGUUCAAUACUUCCAGUCUUGAGUGCAGUAGAGGGAAGUGGAAUUCCGGGUGUAGUGGUGAAAUGCGUAGAUAUCCGGAGGAACACCAGUGGCGAAAGCGGCUUCCUGGACUGUAACUGACGCUCAGACGCGAAAGCUAGGGUAGCAAACG
RNAcentral lists this ribosomal RNA (403 nucleotides) under uncultured bacterium. Its description in RNAcentral is "bacterial SSU rRNA". It matches the Rfam family "Bacterial small subunit ribosomal RNA", at positions 355 to 774 of the family's 1533-position model. The record is from RNAcentral.